RNAcentral lists this ribosomal RNA (869 nucleotides) under uncultured bacterium. RNAcentral's name for it is "bacterial SSU rRNA". It matches the Rfam family "Bacterial small subunit ribosomal RNA", at positions 28 to 896 of the family's 1533-position model. The record is from RNAcentral.
GAUGAACGCUAGCGGCAGGCCUAAUACAUGCAAGACGAACGGUAAGUUGAGUAGCAAUACUUGACCUAGAGUGUCGUACGGGUGCGUAACACGUAUGCAACCUACCCAUGACAGGAGGAUAGCUCCCCGAAAGGGGAAUUAACCCUCCAUAGUAAUAUUGAAUGGCAUCAUUUGGUAUUUAAAACUCCGGUGGUUAUGGAUGGGCAUGCGUCUGAUUAGUUAGUUGGCGGGGUAACGGCCCACCAAGGCGAUGAUCAGUAGGGGAACUGAGAGGUUGAUCCCCCACACUGGCACUGAGAUACGGGCCAGACUCCUACGGGAGGCAGCAGUAGGGAAUAUUGGUCAAUGGAUGGAAGUCUGAACCAGCCAUGCCGCGUGCAGGAAGAAGGCCUUAUGGGUUGUAAACUGCUUUUGCCAGGGGAUAAAAUAGCUGUGCGCAGCGAAUUGCAGGUACCUGGUGAAUAAGCCACGGCUAACUACGUGCCAGCAGCCGCGGUAAUACGUAGGUGGCAAGCGUUGUCCGGAUUUAUUGGGUUUAAAGGGUGCGUAGGCGGCCCAGUAAGUCAGUGGUGAAAUACUCCAGCUUAACUGGAGGGGUGCCAUUGAUACUGCAGGGCUUGAGUGGAGUAGAAGUAGGCGGAAUUGACGGUGUAGCGGUGAAAUGCUUAGAUAUCGUCAAGAACACCGAUAGUGAAGACAGCUUACUAUGCUUCAACUGACGCUGAGGCACGAAAGUGUGGGGAUCAAACAGGAUUAGAUACCCUGGUAGUCCACACUGUAAACGUUGAUGACUCGCUGUUGGCGAUACACAGCCAGCGGCCAAGCGCAAGCGAUAAGUCAUCCACCUGGGGAGUACGCCGGCAACGGUG